RNAcentral lists this ribosomal RNA (630 nucleotides) under uncultured Bacilli bacterium. Its description in RNAcentral is "bacterial SSU rRNA". It matches the Rfam family "Bacterial small subunit ribosomal RNA", at positions 66 to 683 of the family's 1533-position model. Lineage: Bacteria; Bacillati; Bacillota; Bacilli. The record is from RNAcentral.
ACCGGAGCUUGCUCCACGGGAAAAGAAGGGUGGCGAACGGGUGAGUAACACGUGGGUAACCUGCCCAUCAGAAGGGGAUAACACUUGGAAACAGGUGCUAAUACCGUAUAACAAUCAAAACCGCAUGGUUUUGAUUUGAAAGGCGCUUUCGGGUGUCGCUGAUGGAUGGACCCGCGGUGCAUUAGCUAGUUGGUGAGGUAACGGCUCACCAAUGCCACGAUGCAUAGCCGACCUGAGAGGGUGAUCGGCCACAUUGGGACUGAGACACGGCCCAAACUCCUACGGGAGGCAGCAGUAGGGAAUCUUCGGCAAUGGACGAAAGUCUGACCGAGCAACGCCGCGUGAGUGAAGAAGGUUUUCGGAUCGUAAAACUCUGUUGUUAGAGAAGAACAAGGAUGACCAGUACUGUUCAUCCCUUGACGGUAUCUAACCAGAAAGCCACGGCUAACUACGUGCCAGCAGCCGCGGUAAUACGUAGGUGGCAAGCGUUGUCCGGAUUUAUUGGGCGUAAAGCGAGCGCAGGCGGUUUCUUAAGUCUGAUGUGAAAGCCCCCGGCUCAACCGGGGAGGGUCAUUGGAAACUGGGAGACUUGAGUGCAGAAGAGGAGAGUGGAAUUCAUGUGUAGCGGUG